Molecule: ribosomal RNA, 377 nt
Filed under: uncultured bacterium
Lineage: Bacteria
Description: bacterial SSU rRNA
Rfam family: Bacterial small subunit ribosomal RNA
Source: RNAcentral
AUACGUAGGUGGCAAGCGUUGUCCGGAAUUAUUGGGCGUAAAGCGCGCGCAGGCGGUCCUUUAAGUCUGAUGUGAAAGCCCCCGGCUCAACCGGGGAGGGUCAUUGGAAACUGGGGGACUUGAGUGCAGAAGAGGAGAGUGGAAUUCCACGUGUAGCGGUGAAAUGCGUAGAGAUGUGGAGGAACACCAGUGGCGAAGGCGACUCUCUGGUCUGUAACUGACGCUGAGGCGCGAAAGCGUGGGGAGCGAACAGGAUUAGAUACCCUGGUAGUCCACGCCGUAAACGAUGAGUGCUAAGUGUUAGAGGGUUUCCGCCCUUUAGUGCUGCAGCAAACGCAUUAAGCACUCCGCCUGGGGAGUACGGCCGCAAGGCUGAA